Molecule: ribosomal RNA, 163 nt
Filed under: uncultured bacterium
Lineage: Bacteria
Description: partial 16S rRNA
Rfam family: Bacterial small subunit ribosomal RNA
Source: RNAcentral
UAGGGAAUCUUCGGCAAUGGACGAAAGUCUGACCGAGCAACGCCGCGUGAGUGAAGAAGGUUUUCGAAUCGUAAAACUCUGUUGGUAGAGAAGAACGUUGGUGAGAGUGGAAAGCUCAUCAAGUGACGGUAACUACCCAGAAAGGGCGGCUAACUACGUGCCA